Molecule: ribosomal RNA, 492 nt
Filed under: uncultured bacterium
Lineage: Bacteria
Description: partial 16S ribosomal RNA
Rfam family: Bacterial small subunit ribosomal RNA
Source: RNAcentral
AGUGAACGCUGGCGGUAGGCCUAACACAUGCAAGUCGAACGGCAGCACAGUAAGAGCUUGCUCUUACGGGUGGCGAGUGGCGGACGGGUGAGGAAUACAUCGGAAUCUACUUUUUCGUGGGGGAUAACGUAGGGAAACUUACGCUAAUACCGCAUACGACCUACGGGUGAAAGCAGGGGAUCUUCGGACCUUGCGCGAUUGAAUGAGCCGAUGUCGGAUUAGCUAGUUGGCGGGGUAAAGGCCCACCAAGGCGACGAUCCGUAGCUGGUCUGAGAGGAUGAUCAGCCACACUGGAACUGAGACACGGGCCAGACUCCUACGGGAGGCAGCAGUGGGGAAUAUUGGACAAAGGGCGCAAGCCUGAUCCAGCCAUACCGCGUGGGUGAAGAAGGCCUUCGGGUUGUAAAGCCCCUUUGUUGGGAAAGAAAAGCAGCAGGUUAAUACCCCGCUGUUCUGACGGUACCCAAAGAAUAAGCACCGGCUAACUUCGUG